CAGUCGCCGCGGUAAUACGUAGGUGGCAAGCGUUGUCCGGAAUUAUUGGGCGUAAAGGGCUCGCAGGCGGUUUAUUAAGUCUGAUGUGAAAGCCCACGGCUCAACCGUGGAGGGUCAUUGGAAACUGGAAAACUUGAGUGCAGAAGAGGAAAGUGGAAUUCCAUGUGUAGCGGUGAAAUGCGCAGAGAUAUGGAGGAACACCAGUGGCGAAGGCGACUUUCUGGUCUGUAACUGACGCUGAUGUGCGAAAGCGUGGGGAUCAAACAGGAUUAGAUACCCGAGUAGUCCCUGUCUCUUAUAC
RNAcentral lists this ribosomal RNA (301 nucleotides) under uncultured bacterium. Its description in RNAcentral is "partial 16S ribosomal RNA". It matches the Rfam family "Bacterial small subunit ribosomal RNA", at positions 509 to 807 of the family's 1533-position model. The record is from RNAcentral.